This 500-nucleotide ribosomal RNA is filed under the name uncultured bacterium. RNAcentral describes it as "partial 16S ribosomal RNA". It matches the Rfam family "Bacterial small subunit ribosomal RNA", at positions 30 to 523 of the family's 1533-position model. The record is from RNAcentral.
AUUGAACGCUGGCGGCACGCCUUACACAUGCAAGUCGAACGGCAGCACGGGAGCAAUCCUGGUGGCGAGUGGCGAACGGGUGAGUAAUAUAUCGGAACGUGCCCAGUCGUGGGGGAUAACGUAGCGAAAGCUACGCUAAUACCGCAUACGAUCUAUGGAUGAAAGCGGGGGAUCGCAAGACCUCGCGCGAUUGGAGCGGCCGAUAUCAGAUUAGGUAGUUGGUGAGGUAAAGGCUCACCAAGCCGACGAGCUGUAGCUGGUCUGAGAGGACGACCGGCCACACUGGGACUGAGACACGGCCCAGACUCCUACGGGAGGCAGCAGUGGGGAAUUUUGGACAAUGGGCGCAAGCCUGAUCCAGCAAUGCCGCGUGCAGGAUGAAGGCCUUCGGGUUGUAAACUGCUUUUGUACGGAACGAAACGGCGAGCUCUAAUACAGUUUGCUAAUGACGGUACCGUAAGAAUAAGCACCGGCUAACUACGUGCCAGCCGCCGCCGUAA